UACGAAGGGGGCUAGCGUUGCUCGGAAUUACUGGGCGUAAAGCGCACGUAGGCGGUCUUUUAAGUCGGGGGUGAAAUCCUGGAGCUCAACUCCAGAACUGCCUUCGAUACUGGAAGACUUGAGUCCGGGAGAGGUGAGUGGAACUGCGAGUGUAGAGGUGAAAUUCGUAGAUAUUCGCAAGAACACCAGUGGCGAAGGCGGCUCACUGGCCCGGUACUGACGCUGAGGUGCGAAAGCGUGGGGAGCAACAGG
Molecule: ribosomal RNA, 252 nt
Filed under: uncultured bacterium
Lineage: Bacteria
Description: partial 16S ribosomal RNA
Rfam family: Bacterial small subunit ribosomal RNA
Source: RNAcentral